RNAcentral lists this ribosomal RNA (243 nucleotides) under Acanthamoeba genotype T4. Its description in RNAcentral is "partial 18S ribosomal RNA". It matches the Rfam family "Eukaryotic small subunit ribosomal RNA", at positions 938 to 1096 of the family's 1831-position model. Lineage: Eukaryota; Discosea; Longamoebia; Acanthamoebidae. The record is from RNAcentral.
AACUUCUGCGAAAGCAUCUGCCAAGGAUGUUUUCAUUAAUCAAGAACGAAAGUUAGGGGAUCGAAGACGAUCAGAUACCGUCGUAGUCUUAACCAUAAACGAUGCCGACCAGCGAUUAGGAGACGUUGAAUACAAAACACCACCAUCGGUGCGGUCGUCCUUGGCGUCGGUCUUUCGGGGCCGGCGCGGGGACGGCUUAGCCCGGUGGCACCGGUGAAUGACUCCCCUAGCAGCUUGUGAGAA